Long non-coding RNA from Bubalus bubalis (water buffalo), 669 nucleotides. RefSeq lists it as uncharacterized. Lineage: Eukaryota; Metazoa; Chordata; Mammalia; Artiodactyla; Bovidae. The record is from RefSeq and is a predicted model, not a curated record. The transcript has 4 exons.
ACUAAUAGCCUCUUAAUUAACUCCUUCCCCUUCCGGCUUCCCUUCCUUAUCCCUCAUGGGUCUCCUUUGCUUCACCUCCUGAAUAAACAACUGGGACCCACAUUCUUGACUCUAGGUCCUCUUUGGAGAGAAUCAAACCUAUGACAAGCAUGGCUCAGGAUGCUGCAUGGAGGAUGCAGAGGCCCUGUCAGAUCCCUGAUACCAUGUAUUCCCUGAAGGUGAUUUAUCAUCUGUCCAUCAUCAUGGUCCAUCAUCCAUCAUGCCACCAUAAGUACUGGAGUCUUUCAAAGGUCAUUGCCAUGCUUCAUCAAGGACCACCUCAACUCUGCUCAAAUCCCUUUAUGGAAUAUGAAACAGCAUAUAAACCAGAAAAAUUGGAGCAACUGUGAGUAACUGUGACUUCUGUGAUGGCAGAUUCUUUAUCACUAGCGCCACCUGGGAAGUCCCUUGUGCAUGCUAUCCAGUACAAGGCUACAAAUUGCAGAUAACAUGGCACCUCUACUUGGGUUUUAUUUCUCCUUCUGAUGAACAGAGAAAAGUCUUCAUAAAGGCCUUAAGUGGCCAUCACAAUUCACUCAUUGCUUUUUGCAUCCUGUAAUUGUCGCAUAUGCCCUGUAAGUGUUUGAAAUGAUUAUGUGGUAUGUCACUAUAUAAAGAAAGAAUUCCUAA